UCUGUCCUGCCGGCAAACCAAGCUGAAACCACGCCUGGGAUCACCAGGGAAAAACAGUGGUUCAACCCCAGAACCAGGGAAUUCACCUUGAGUGGCCACAC
Molecule: long non-coding RNA, 101 nt
Organism: Thalassophryne amazonica
Lineage: Eukaryota; Metazoa; Chordata; Actinopteri; Batrachoidiformes; Batrachoididae
Exons: 3
Source: RefSeq, a predicted model, not a curated record